This 252-nucleotide ribosomal RNA is filed under the name uncultured Bacteroidales bacterium. RNAcentral describes it as "partial 16S ribosomal RNA". It matches the Rfam family "Bacterial small subunit ribosomal RNA", at positions 524 to 776 of the family's 1533-position model. Lineage: Bacteria; Pseudomonadati; Bacteroidota; Bacteroidia; Bacteroidales. The record is from RNAcentral.
UACGGAGGAUGCGAGCGUUAUCCGGAUUUAUUGGGUUUAAAGGGUGCGCAGGCGGAUUUUUAAGUCAGCGGUCAAAUCGUGGGGCUCAACCCCAUCCAGCCGUUGAAACUGGGGAUCUAGAGUGUGCGAGAGGUAUGCGGAAUGCGUGGUGUAGCGGUGAAAUGCUUAGAGAUCAUACAGAACACCGAUUGCGAAGGCAGCUUACCGGCGCUCAACUGACGCUGAGGCACGAAAGUGCGGGUAUCGAACAGG